AGAGUUUGAUCCUGGCUCAGAAUCAACGCUGGCGGCGCGCUUAACACAUGCAAGUCGCACGAGAAAGUGGAGCAAUCCAUGAGUAAAGUGGCGUACGGGUGAGUAACACGUGGAUCAUCUACCUCUUGGUGGGGAAUAACCCUGGGAAACCGGGGCUAAUACCGCAUAAGCCUGCGAAGGGAAAGCAGCAAUGCGCCGAGAGAGGAGUCCGCGGCCGAUUAGCUAGUUGGUAGGGUAAAGGCCUACCAAGGCAAUGAUCGGUAGCCGGCCUGAGAGGGCACACGGCCACACUGGCACUGAAACACGGGCCAGACUCCUACGGGAGGCAGCAGUGGGGAAUCUUGCACAAUGGAGGAAACUCUGAUGCAGCGACGCCGCGUGAGCGAUGAAGCCCUUCGGGGUGUAAAGCUCUUUCGACGGGAACGAUAAUGACGGUACCCGGAGAAGAAGCUGCGGCUAACUACGUGCCAGCAGCCGCGGUAAUACGUAGGCAGCAAGCGUUGUUCGGAAUUACUGGGCGUAAAGAGUGUGUAGGCGGUUCUCUAUGUUCGGUGUGAAAUCUCCCGGCUUAACUGGGAGGGUGCGCCGAAAACUGGAGGGCUUGAUUAUGGGAGAGGAAAGCGGAAUUCCUGGUGUAGCGGUGAAAUGCGUAGAUAUCAGGAGGAACACCUGCGGUGUAGACGGCUUUCUGGACCAUCACUGACGCUGAGACACGAAAGCGUGGGGAGCAAACCCGAUUAGAUACCCUGGUAGUCGCGCCCUAAACGAUGCAUACCUGGUGUGAGCCGUUCAUUCGAUCGUGCCGGACUAACGCGUUAAUAUGCCGCCUGGGGAGUACGGUCGCAAGGCUGAAACUCAAAGGAUUG
Molecule: ribosomal RNA, 866 nt
Filed under: uncultured soil bacterium
Lineage: Bacteria
Description: bacterial SSU rRNA
Rfam family: Bacterial small subunit ribosomal RNA
Source: RNAcentral